Molecule: ribosomal RNA, 403 nt
Filed under: Verrucomicrobiota bacterium
Lineage: Bacteria; Pseudomonadati; Verrucomicrobiota
Description: Verrucomicrobia bacterium partial 16S ribosomal RNA
Rfam family: Bacterial small subunit ribosomal RNA
Source: RNAcentral
UGGGGAAUAUUGCACAAUGGGGGAAACCCUGAUGCAGCGACGCCGCGUGAGCGAAGAAGGUUUUCGAAUCGUAAAGCUCUGUCCUAUGAGAAGAUAAUGACGGUAUCAUAGGAGGAAGCCCCGGCUAAAUACGUGCCAGCAGCCGCGGUAAUACGUAUGGGGCGAGCGUCGUCCGGAAUUAUUGGGCGUAAAGGGUACGUAGGCGGUCUAUUAAGUCAGGUGUGAAAGCGUGAGGCUUAACCUCAUUAAGCACUUGAAACUGAUAGACUUGAGUGAAGGAGAGGAAAGUGGAAUUCCUAGUGUAGCGGUGAAAUGCGUAGAUAUUAGGAGGAAUACCGGUGGCGAAGGCGACUUGCUGGACUUUUACUGACGCUCAGGUACGAAAGCGUGGGGAGCAAACAGG